UCGAGAAUCUUCGGCAAUGGGCGCAAGCCUGACCGAGCGACGCCGCGUGCGGGAUGAAGGCCUUCGGGUUGUAAACCGCUGUCAGAGGGGAAGAAAUGCAUGAGGGCACUCUCUCAUGUUUGACUGAUCCUCAGAGGAAGUCCGGGCUAAGUUCGUGCCAGCAGCCGCGGUAAGACGAACCGGACAAACGUUAUUCGGAAUCACUGGGCUUAAAGGGUGCGUAGGCGGCGUGGAUAGUCGGAUGUGAAAUCCCUCAGCUCAACUGAGGAACUGCGUCCGAAACUGCCAUGCUCGAGGGAGACAGGGGUGAGCGGAACUCACGGUGGAGCGGUGAAAUGCGUUGAUAUCGUGAGGAACACCGGUGGCGAAAGCGGCUCACUGGGUCUCUUCUGACGCUGAGGCACGAAAGCUAGGGGAGCGAACGGGAUUAGAUACCCCUGUAGUCC
RNAcentral lists this ribosomal RNA (446 nucleotides) under uncultured prokaryote. RNAcentral describes it as "bacterial SSU rRNA". It matches the Rfam family "Bacterial small subunit ribosomal RNA", at positions 355 to 796 of the family's 1533-position model. The record is from RNAcentral.